AGAGUUUGAUCCUGGCUCAGAGCGAACGCUGGCGGCAGGCCUAACACAUGCAAGUCGAACGGACUCUUCGGAGUUAGUGGCGGACGGGUGAGUAACACGUGGGAACGUGCCUUUAGGUUCGGAAUAAGCUCGGGAAACUGGGUCUAAUACCGAAUGUGCCCUUCGGGGGAAAGAUUUAUCGCCUUUAGAGCGGCCCGCGUCUGAUUAGCUAGUUGGUGGUGUAAUGGACCACCAAGGCGACGAUCAGUAGCUGGUCUGAGAGGAUGACCAGCCACAUUGGGACUGAGACACGGCCCAAACUCCUACGGGAGGCAGCAGUGGGGAAUCUUGCGCAAUGGGCGAAAGCCUGACGCAGCCAUGCCGCGUGUAUGAUGAAGGUCUUAGGAUUGUAAAAUACUUUCACCGGUGAAGAUAAUGACUGUAGCCGGAGAAGAAGCCCCGGCUAACUUCGUGCCAGCAGCCGCGGUAAUACGAAGGGGGCUAGCGUUGCUCGGAAUUACUGGGCGUAAAGGGAGCGUAGGCGGACAUUUAAGUCAGGGGUGAAAUCCCAGAGCUCAACUCUGGAACUGCCUUUGAUACUGGGUGUCUUGAGUGUGAGAGAGGUAUGUGGAACUCCGAGUGUAGAGGUGAAAUUCGUAGAUAUUCGGAAGAACACCAGUGGCGAAGGCGACAUACUGGCUCAUUACUGACGCUGAGGCUCGAAAGCGUGGGGAGCAAACAGGAUUAGAUACCCUGGUAGUCC
This 742-nucleotide ribosomal RNA is filed under the name uncultured bacterium. RNAcentral describes it as "bacterial SSU rRNA". It matches the Rfam family "Bacterial small subunit ribosomal RNA", at positions 8 to 796 of the family's 1533-position model. The record is from RNAcentral.